GAGUAGUGGCUUCAAAUAUCCACUCUGCUAGCGUGAACGGGAGCCAGGAGGAAAUAUUGCACCCUCCUUCUGGGGAAUGAGGAACGGUGCUCUUAGGAAUUAGAGAAUGUUCCAAUACGAGUCUGGGCUCGGUGAGCCGCAAAAUUGGAAGAAAACAGUUACGUGCAGGAAAAAUGACGGGUGCUUCUAGAUACGGAAAGCGUAAUCACCUUCUGGCGAAUCCACCCAAACAUCCUGCAGAAAGGAGAUGCCUGGAGCUCGUGACUCCAGUAGAACUUUUGCCGUCAUCAACACCUUUCAGCGGACUACGGUCGGGAUACCGUCGUCCUCCCGUCUGUCGGUCGGAGCAAGGUCGCCCGGGAGUGAAAGCGACGGCGAACCGAGGGGCGUCACGGAGGAGCGG
Long non-coding RNA from Ornithorhynchus anatinus (platypus), 403 nucleotides. RefSeq lists it as uncharacterized. The transcript is spliced from 5 exons. The record is from RefSeq and is a predicted model, not a curated record. NCBI's taxonomy places the organism in Eukaryota, Metazoa, Chordata, Mammalia, Monotremata, Ornithorhynchidae.